UUGUGUGCGGAGAUGAAGCAAAUUUUCGUGGACUAGAGUUUCCGAUCUUGCAGUUGACGAAACAACCCUUGGCGGUCUCAACAUGCUA
Molecule: small nucleolar RNA, 88 nt
Organism: Salvia splendens (bonfire salvia)
Lineage: Eukaryota; Viridiplantae; Streptophyta; Magnoliopsida; Lamiales; Lamiaceae
Product: small nucleolar RNA Z157/R69/R10
Exons: 1
Source: RefSeq, a predicted model, not a curated record